UACACUCCUGCGGGAGGCAGCAGUGGGGAAUAUUGCACAAUGGGCGCAAGCCUGAUGCAGCCAUGCCGCGUGUAUGAAGAAGGCCUUCGGGUUGUAAAGUACUUUCAGCGGGGAGGAAGGCGAUAAGGUUAAUAACCUUGUCGAUUGACGUUACCCGCAGAAGAAGCACCGGCUAACUCCGUGCCAGCAGCCGCGGUAAUACGGAGGGUGCACGCGUUAAUCGGAAUUACUGGGCGUAAAGCGCACGCAGGCGGUCUGUCAAGUCGGAUGUGAAAUCCCCGGGCUCAACCUGGGAACUGCAUUCGAAACUGGCAGGCUAGAGUCUUGUAGAGGGGGGUAGAAUUCCAGGUGUAGCGGUGAAAUGCGUAGAGAUCUGGAGGAAUACCGGUGGCGAAGGCGGCCCCCUGGACAAAGACUGACGCUCAGGUGCGAAAGCGUGGGGAGCAAACAGGAUUAGAAACCCCAGUAGUCCCAUG
This 476-nucleotide ribosomal RNA is filed under the name uncultured organism. Its description in RNAcentral is "partial 16S ribosomal RNA". It matches the Rfam family "Bacterial small subunit ribosomal RNA", at positions 332 to 799 of the family's 1533-position model. The record is from RNAcentral.